RNAcentral lists this ribosomal RNA (253 nucleotides) under uncultured bacterium. Its description in RNAcentral is "partial 16S ribosomal RNA". It matches the Rfam family "Bacterial small subunit ribosomal RNA", at positions 524 to 776 of the family's 1533-position model. The record is from RNAcentral.
UACGUAGGGUCCGAGCGUUGUCCGGAAUUAUUGGGCGGAAAGAGCUCGUAGGCGGUCUGUUGCGUCGGCUGUGAAAACCCGGGGCUCAACUCCGGGCCUGCAGUCGAUACGGGCAGACUAGAGUUCGGUAGGGGAGACUGGAAUUCCUGGUGUAGCGGUGAAAUGCGCAGAUAUCAGGAGGAACACCGGUGGCGAAGGCGGGUCUCUGGGCCGAAACUGACGCUGAGGAGCGAAAGCGUGGGGAGCGAACAGG